AAAUUGAAGAGUUUGAUCAUGGCUCAGAUUGAACGCUGGCGGCAGGCCUAACACAUGCAAGUCGAACGGUAACAGGAAGCAGCUUGCUGCUUCGCUGACGAGUGGCGGACGGGUGAGUAAUGUCUGGGAAACUGCCUGAUGGAGGGGGAUAACUACUGGAAACGGUAGCUAAUACCGCAUAAUGUCGCAAGACCAAAGAGGGGGACCUUCGGGCCUCUUGCCAUCGGAUGUGCCCAGAUGGGAUUAGCUUGUUGGUGGGGUAACGGCUCACCAAGGCGACGAUCCCUAGCUGGUCUGAGAGGAUGA
RNAcentral lists this ribosomal RNA (306 nucleotides) under Escherichia coli. Its description in RNAcentral is "partial 16S ribosomal RNA". It matches the Rfam family "Bacterial small subunit ribosomal RNA", at positions 1 to 303 of the family's 1533-position model. The record is from RNAcentral. Lineage: Bacteria; Pseudomonadati; Pseudomonadota; Gammaproteobacteria; Enterobacterales; Enterobacteriaceae.